Molecule: ribosomal RNA, 253 nt
Filed under: uncultured bacterium
Lineage: Bacteria
Description: partial 16S ribosomal RNA
Rfam family: Bacterial small subunit ribosomal RNA
Source: RNAcentral
GACGAAGGAUGCAAGCGUUAUCCGGAUUCAUUGGGUUUAAAGGGUGCGUAGGCGGACUUGUAAGUCAGUGGUGAAAUCUCUUCGCUUAACGAAGAAACUGCCAUUGAUACUGCAGGUUUAGAGUACAGAUGAUGUGGGCGGAAUAUGACAUGUAGUGGUGAAAUACUUAGAUAUGUCAUAGAACACCGAUUGUGAAGGCAGCUUACAAAACUGUAACUGACGCUGAGGCACGAAAGUGCGGGGAUCAAACAGG